UACUCCUACGGGAGGCAGCAGUGGGGAAUAUUGCGCAAUGGGGGCAACCCUGACGCAGCCAUGCCGCGUGAAUGAAGAAGGCCUUCGGGUUGUAAAGUUCUUUCGGUAGCGAGGAAGGCAUUUAGUUUAAUAGACUAGGUGAUUGACGUUAACUACAGAAGAAGCACCGGCUAACUCCGUGCCAGCAGCCGCGGUAAUACGGAGGGUGCGAGCGUUAAUCGGAAUAACUGGGCGUAAAGGGCACGCAGGCGGUGACUUAAGUGAGGUGUGAAAGCCCCGGGCUUAACCUGGGAAUUGCAUUUCAUACUGGGUCGCUAGAGUACUUUAGGGAGGGGUAGAAUUCCACGUGUAGCGGUGAAAUGCGUAGAGAUGUGGAGGAAUACCGAAGGCGAAGGCAGCCCCUUGGGAAUGUACUGACGCUCAUGUGCGAAAGCGUGGGGAGCAAACAGGAUUAGAUACCCUGGUAGUCCACGCUGUAAACGAUGUCGAUUUGGGGGUUGAGCUUUAAGUUUGGCGCCCGUAGCUAACGUGAUAAAUCGACCGCCUGGGGAGUACGGCCGCAAGGUUAAAACUCAAAUGAAUUGACGGA
This 589-nucleotide ribosomal RNA is filed under the name uncultured bacterium. Its description in RNAcentral is "bacterial SSU rRNA". It matches the Rfam family "Bacterial small subunit ribosomal RNA", at positions 334 to 917 of the family's 1533-position model. The record is from RNAcentral.